Molecule: unclassified non-coding RNA, 276 nt
Filed under: Trichoderma lixii
Lineage: Eukaryota; Fungi; Ascomycota; Sordariomycetes; Hypocreales; Hypocreaceae
Also listed under: 1 other name
Description: partial contains small subunit ribosomal RNA, internal transcribed spacer 1, and 5.8S ribosomal RNA
Rfam family: Eukaryotic small subunit ribosomal RNA (bases 1-46)
Source: RNAcentral
AAGUCGUAACAAGGUCUCCGUUGGUGAACCAGCGGAGGGAUCAUUACCGAGUUUACAACUCCCAAACCCAAUGUGAACGUUACCAAACUGUUGCCUCGGCGGGAUCUCUGCCCCGGGUGCGUCGCAGCCCCGGACCAAGGCGCCCGCCGGAGGACCAACCAAAACUCUUUUUGUAUACCCCCUCGCGGGUUUUUUUAUAAUCUGAGCCUUCUCGGCGCCUCUCGUAGGCGUUUCGAAAAUGAAUCAAAACUUUCAACAACGGAUCUCUUGGUUCUG